Long non-coding RNA from Halichondria panicea, 703 nucleotides. RefSeq lists it as uncharacterized. The record is from RefSeq and is a predicted model, not a curated record. NCBI's taxonomy places the organism in Eukaryota, Metazoa, Porifera, Demospongiae, Suberitida, Halichondriidae. The transcript has 5 exons.
ACUUGCUACCACUAGAUACAGUGAAGAAUGCAGUCAUUGCAAUCACUGCUGACUGGUACAGUCUGGCAAUACAGCUGGAUAUUGGCUACAAAACUAGAAAGGUCAUUGAGCGUGACCACCCAUCGGCAGAAGCUGGGUUCCAUGCCAUGUUGCAGCACUGGGUGAGGAGACCCUCCCCUCCCCCCUCCUGGUCGGCCCUCAUUAGAGCACUAAAGUGCCUCGUCAUCAAUCGAGCAGACAUUGCAGCAGACAUGGAAACACAUCAGGAUGUGUUGGGAGUAUCUAUAUAGAGAUGGUGAAUCAUCCAUUCCCUCUCAGGAUCAGCAAAACUUAUUAAUUUUGUCCAAAAAGAGCCACUCAGUGUGGACCAGCACUUGAAGGUGGUGAGAGAAACCACCUGGGAAGCAAGAGCCAAAUGGAAGUGUCUGGGAGAACAGUUGGGAGUUAUUAGAGGAGAUUCAGCACAACCGUCAUCAUGUAGCUGGAGCUUGUGUAACUGGCAUGCUGGAGCACUGGUUGACCCAGACCGACCCUCCCCUCUCCUGGUCCGCUCUCAUUGAGGCUCUCAGAUCCCCUGCUCUUGGUCGGGGGGACAUUGAGACUAUUAAAGGAUCACUGCCACACCAUAGACAAGUGGACACAUGAAUUGUCAUGACUCAUGAUUAUAUGCGCUGCAAUUUAUUUUUUCUACGGUAUAAUUAUA